GUGGAGAAGGACGCCGAAGGUGGGGCUGAUGACUGGGGUGAAGUCGUAACAAGGUAGCCGUACCGGAAGGUGCGGCUGGAUCACCUCCUAACAGGGAGACAAUUAAUCGAUUGUGAUGUCUAAGUAAUUAUCUUAGGCCGCAAUCCUGUCACCUUAAGGUCGAUCGGUACCUCAGAUUUUAGUAUUAAUUUUAUAGUUAAUCCUUUGAUUUCAGUUCCUAAACUUGUCUAGGUCACACCCAACAAGGGUUUCUCCUGGGCCAUUAGCUCAGGUGGUUAGAGCGCACCCCUGAUAAGGGUGAGGUCCCUGGUUCAAGUCCAGGAUGGCCCAUUCGUUGUUGGGGGUAUAGCUCAGUUGGUAGAGCGCCUGCUUUGCAAGCAGGAUGUCAGCGGUUCGAGUCCGCUUACCUCCACUGAAACCACCCUGAUAACUAAAAUUCGGGAGAAAAAUUGUUGAUGUGACUUAGUAUUUUCUAUUUGAAAAGAACCUAGCUUCUUAUCAUCUUUUUACAGUUGAUAAUAUGCUGGGCUCCCAUGAAUUUUUUCAUGAGAAUUCAGUAGAACCUUGAAAACUGCAUAGAUUAGAAAGAAUAAAGCAUCUCAUGGAUGCAUAGUUCUGAUUAGAUUUUCAGCUUAAAAACUGAAUCAUCGAUUAUCAGAAUUCAUGUUUAAUUCUUGAGUAAUAGCCGAGCACAAUUGAUUUUGUGAUUGUAUUUAAGGUCAAGCUACAAAGGGCUCAUGGCGGAUACCUUGGCACACA
RNAcentral lists this unclassified non-coding RNA (759 nucleotides) under uncultured Prochlorococcus sp. Its description in RNAcentral is "partial may contain 16S ribosomal RNA, 16S-23S ribosomal RNA intergenic spacer, and 23S ribosomal RNA". The stretch from base 340 to 412 matches the Rfam family "tRNA". Lineage: Bacteria; Bacillati; Cyanobacteriota; Cyanophyceae; Synechococcales; Prochlorococcaceae. The record is from RNAcentral.